This 123-nucleotide ribosomal RNA is filed under the name Rhizopus stolonifer. Its description in RNAcentral is "partial small subunit ribosomal RNA". It matches the Rfam family "Eukaryotic small subunit ribosomal RNA", at positions 808 to 928 of the family's 1831-position model. Lineage: Eukaryota; Fungi; Mucoromycota; Mucoromycetes; Mucorales; Rhizopodaceae. The record is from RNAcentral.
CAUGGAAUAAUGAAAUGAUGACUUUAGAUCCUAUUUUCGUUGGUUUAGGUACUUCAGUAAUGAUGAAUAGAAACGGUUAGGGGCAUUUGUAUUUGGUCGCUAGAGGUGAAAUUCUUGGAUUGA